Molecule: ribosomal RNA, 253 nt
Filed under: uncultured bacterium
Lineage: Bacteria
Description: partial 16S ribosomal RNA
Rfam family: Bacterial small subunit ribosomal RNA
Source: RNAcentral
UACGAGGGGGGCAAGCGUUGUUCGGAAUUACUGGGCGUAAAGGGCGCGUAGGCGGCUUAUCAAGUCAGGCGUGAAAUUCCCGGGCUCAACCUGGGGGCUGCGCUUGAUACUGAUUGGCUUGAAUGCGGGAGAGGAUAGUGGAAUUCCCAGUGUAGAGGUGAAAUUCGUAGAUAUUGGGAAGAACACCGGUGGCGAAGGCGGCUAUCUGGCCCGUAAUUGACGCUGAGGCGCGAAAGCGUGGGGAGCAAACAGG